GUUUUUAUUUGACUACUCCAGAACUCGGGAGCCAACACAGCCAGUUAAAACUGGGUUUUCUCCGGCGCGCCCUGUCACGCGGCUGGCCGCCAAGCUCGCCAAUGGGAAGAUGAAGAGAUUUCUACAGCGCGAUCCGGGGGCUGUGGCACUUGACUUUACCAAGAAGGAUCACGCUGCUACCUGGAGAAGACCAUUUUUUCUAUUCAGGCCAAGGAAUGGAAGAAACACUGAACACCCAGUAGGAUAGACCAAGAGUUCAGUGGCAAAGGGAAGCUGGAUCAGAUAAGACAACCCAGCAAUUAUUUGGGGCAAAUGUCAAAUUUCUUCCUAUGAACAAUAUGUAAAGAUAAUUCUCUUGCUCUAUAUUCACUGAAAUAUUCAGUUGUAAAAGAAUAA
RNA transcript from Myotis lucifugus (little brown bat), 396 nucleotides. RefSeq lists it as uncharacterized. The transcript is spliced from 6 exons. The record is from RefSeq and is a predicted model, not a curated record. NCBI's taxonomy places the organism in Eukaryota, Metazoa, Chordata, Mammalia, Chiroptera, Vespertilionidae.